GGGCACGACAUCACUCGAUAUCACCAGUGUUGGCCGAGGACAGAUCCCAUUCCACGGACCAAUAUUCUGGAAGAGCAUAGGGCCAUGACAGGGAAAGAGUAGGGUCUUCAAAGGCUUUACCUGAAAAACAUAAAACUAGCAAGGCUGAGUAUACUAAUACUCAGCAAGGCUUACCCGGGAUUGGGUAUACUGUCGGUGUUUAACCGGCUGCCCACCGAGGGAUAUACCCAAGGUGGUAAGUUUUGGGUGAGGGAACGCCGAGAUCAGGAACUCGAAGGUGCAAAGAACACAAGACUUUAGACAGGUUCGGGCCGCACGGGGCGUAACACCCUACGUCCUGUAUGGUGGUUUGUAUUCUUUUUGGUGUAGAAUGACCUAAUGAUCUUCUGUUUUUAGGGGGGUCUCUGACCUCCCUUUUAUAUCCGAGAGGCCAGAGUUACAAAGAUGCUAACCAACCCCCACUGAGGGAUCACACCAGAACUGAUCUCGAGUAGAUCCUCUCCGUGUUGGUUAGCCCUAUCUCCUAUUUAAACGGGAUAAACAAGAGAUAAACAAAAUGAAUAAGAGAUAAGACGGGCUUAAUCUCUUAGACUACAUAACAUGCCCAGCCCGGUGGCCCCGGGUCUGACAAGCCCCCGAGCUCUUCGUAGCUAAGUAUUGCAGACUUAUCGAGUACUUUCAAAACUGUCUUCGACUUCUUCUGACGAUUCGUUUUGAAGUCCUUCUUCGAGUACUUGCUUGGCUGCAUCGAAGCUAGGAGGUGCUCAUGCCCCGAAUUUUAUUUCUGACAUGGCGUGCGAUUGCAAAAUCGCACUCCAUAUGGAGUAGCCCCCGAGCCUUAUGUUGAAUCGUAGGAUCGGGCUGAGGGUCCCACUUGUCUGUAGUCUUCCUUACCCUUCAAAGAACUUUAAAAAAUAAGUAGUCGAUGCCACAUACCCCACAGCCCCCGAGCCUUGAAUCCAAAUCCCACAAAGUUGGAGAUAAGGGUCCAAAAAUCGUGGCAUACAGGCUAAACAAUAACACGCUACGGGGGAGACCGAAGCGAUGGUACAAAUGAUGUAAUUAGACCAAAGAUUCAAAAAACCCCUUUUUUCGGGCUAAUUGGCCCUGAAAAAAUGAUUAAUCAAAGGUGCAAUCUAAUCAGAUCACCAAAUGACCCCUCAUCUUCGGAAUAUUCCACGAAACGACUCUUGAACUUCAAAACAGUAACUUUCCCCCACUCCGCUGGUUAUUUAACCCCGCGAUAACUGUAGGAAAAAAUCACGCUUUCAAUCUGCAUUCCAUCAAGAGCCACCAAAUUCCCCAGUCCAAACCAAGCGCCGCCGCCUUCCCCCAAGAAAAACUCCCACCCCGACCUCCCCGCCCCUCUCCCCGCAGCCCCCGAGCAUCUCGUGGCCGGCGCGUCGGAGAUGACGUCCAAGAAGUCAGAGAUCGAGGGAAUGAAGAAGGAUGCGGGACCAACAACCGCGGAGUGGACACACAGUAAGUGCUCCCUCAACAAUUUGAAAAAACUUAUUUCUAAGGGGUUGCUGCAAUAGAAAAAUCUCGUCAACUGGCGCCCCUCCUUCCGGGAACCUUUCCCCAUGGAGAAUGUUGACGAAAUCGUCACAUUUUACCAUUUUGCCGAACGGGGAUUGGCCCUCCCCACUUGUUCUUUCUUCCGCGGCCUUCUUUACUACUACGGGCUUGAGCUCCAUCACCUCAACCCGAAUUCCAUCUGCCACAUCUCUAUUUUCAUCCACUUUUGUGAAGCAUUUCUCGGAAUUGAACCCCACUGGGAUCUAUUCCGCUUCCUCUUCCGCGUGAAACCCCAGCCAACCACGAAAAAACUCGCCGUGGUAGGGGGCGCCGGCAUCCAACUGCGACAGCAGGCCGGCGAGAAAUACCUUGCAUAUAGAUUCCCCUCCAACCUUCCUGGGUGGAAAAACCUCUGGUUUUACAUCGAGAACCAUGCUCCCCCCCUGCCGACGAAGUCGAGCGAACCACCCGUGGUGAGGGGGAGUGGAACCUUGAACCCUCCGGCAUGGAAAUGAUUCAAGUCAAGGAGCUGCUGGAGGCCAUCGAUGCAUUGAAGAAGGAGGGGGUGACCGGCGCCUCCGUCAUGUUCUCCUUUUACAAGCGCCGCGUCCAGCCCAUCCAACAGAGGUGUUGCCUGGGCUUCGAGUACACCGGCCCUGCUGAUUCUUCUCGCAUGUGCACAGAGGAGGUGCCAGAUGAAGUCGCGCUCCAGCGGGUUUAGCGGGUGCUGCUGGACGUGAACACCAGGCCGUACAUACCCACCUUGUACUCCGCGCAACAUCCGCCCCCGCCGGUAAGUGCUCGACUUCUUUUGCUGAAGAAAUCGACUACUGCGCCGGUACUGAACUGAAGGACUUUCCGCAGGGACAUUCGGAACUUUACUGCAGCUACCCGCCGCAGCCGGACCUCCCCCGAGCGUAUCACCUCCUUCCUUCUGCAGUCACGGCGGCCAAGAAGGCUCGCCUUGCUGCGACCCAAAGCCGCAACGAGGCCGCCGAACGCGUGGACUUGCCAGCGGGGGAAGACGCCGAGGGAGGUCCGCGCCCUGUUGCCGCCGUUGCCACCAAGGCGGCACGCAAUACUGCGGUUCAAGGCAGCAGCGAGUCCAUGGAGUGCGUGGGCUCGCAGGCGAGCGGAGGGACCGUGGGGGAGCCGCGCGGGAACAACUCCUCCGAUCAGAGCGUGGAGUUGGCCGGCGCUCUGCCACCGGUGCCGAAGGGCCAGCGCCAGGUGCGCAAGCGCAAGGCUCAAGAAGUCGAGUCCUCCAGGUACGGAAUUGCUGUUUUGGCCAGUUCCAAAGUUUCCAUGGUGCUGAGUACUGACAGCACCCCCUUGCAGUCUUCCUGCUCUGCCAUCCGGAUCUGAACCCGAAAGGGUGGAUACAGGCUCCUCUGACGCCGCGGCAGUGACAAUUGUCGUGGCGGGAACCCCUCCAUCAGCCGGCCAGGCCUCGCCAUCAGCGACGAGCGUUCCUCGGCGGGCCUGGCGGGUGAAGAAGGCUGCCAAGAAGAAGUCGACACUGUAAGUUUUACUUCAAUCGCUUGAAGAUCUUGACCGUGCCCGCGUGGAUAACCAUGUUGUCGAUGUCACCAGGGCUGCAAGCGCGGUGCAACUCCAGCUGGAGCCGAGCAGGGCUGCGGUGCCUGCCUCAGCUGCAGCAGCCCCUGAGCCCUUGGCGCCUGGGGGGCCCGUACCAGCAAAGGUGGCCCCUGAAGCAGAUGCGGGGCUCCCCGACUUGCCGCCUCCCGAGUCCCGACGAGAAGGAGCCGGACCCGGUGGCGAUGAACAAGUCGUGGCCCCAGAAGCGGAUGCGGGGCUCCCCGACUUGCCGCCUCCCGAGUCCCGACAAGAGGGAGCCGAGCCCAGUGGCGAGGAACAAGUCGCGGCCCCUGGUGCCGCUCCCACCGGUGGCGCAGGUACGAGCUUUCCCGCCCGCGGCUUGAUGUCAGGGUCCGGGCAUAAUGUGGUGACCACUUCGCAUGCUCGCAGGUGUCCAGCCGCCGCCGUCCGGAGAAGCCGCCGGGCCCUCGGGGAGUCCUCGUGAGGUGCUGAGGGCCGGGCCAGGGCACCAGGACAUCAUCACCACCGACCUGGUGGAUGAUCUUCUGCUGACGGCCGAAAAUGUGAAGACUUUCAAGAGCACCUUCAAGGAGUUAUACGACUUCUCCAUGGUAAUACUCGGGUAAUGGUCCGGGUGCGCGCGUUGAUGAAUUGUUUAGGACUCAUUCUCCUCCUUUGGCGCAGCAUGUGAUCACCAAAUCCCAGAAGAAGUCGGAUAAACUCCGUGCGGUUUUGAGUGACGCGCGGGAGUUAGGUGCCCUGCACAAGCGCAUCUCCGAGGAGAAGACGAAGAAUUGCUAUAUGCAGCGCGAGCUUGAUAUACUGAAGAAAGAAAGGACUCGAGAGACCUGGCUGCUCAAGAAUGACCUGAAAAACAUGGAGAAGGCCAACUCCGAGCUCCAACAACAGCUCAAGGAGCAACAAGCGGAGUACCAGGAGCAGCUCAAGGCAGAGAAAAAGGCGCACCAAGGUAAGCUCUCGCUUUCCUCGAGUACUUUUUCCUUAGUGAGUCUCCUUAGAUGCUGAAGUACCCUUGCCGCAGAGCUUAGGAAAAUAACGAAAUAAAAAGAGGAGCUGCUUACUGACGUGAAGAAUAUGCUGUAUCGUCGUACAGAUGAAGUCGAAAAGCUGCAGAAGGUGAUCGGCGACACUGAGCGUCAGUUCGUCGACUGCCUUCAGCAAGUCAAGGCGCUGGGCGAGAAGGACGAGCAGAUGCGCAAGGAGCUGGAGGACCUCCGGGAAGCCGCCCAGGAGCUGGUGGACAUGGUGGAUCCCCCAGAAGAAGGCGAGGCAGGCCCGCGGCCCCUGCUGGAGCGACUCCGUGAAGCCCCGAAGAAAAUGCUCAAGUUCCUAUCCGAAGCUCCAGUCGCUUGCGUGAGCAACGCCCUCGCAUAUGUAAAGUCCUUCGUGCCGAAUGCACAGCUAGGCAUUUUUGCGCAGGGGAUGGCGGCGGACUGCUCAAACGAGCGUUUUGAAGAGUACCUGCGAGAAGCCCAACCUGUAGCAGAACAAAUUGUACACAGUGUGCUGCAGGAUUAGGGUAUGAGAAACAAGUAAUCAUUCCCUUGUAUAUAUGGUUAUUUUGAUGUCUCUACUUGUGUGUGUGUGUGCCUAUGCUGGGCGGGUGUCCAGGCUUUCAAGGCGCAAAUAGUAGACACUACCCCGGGGCGCAACGACCCUGAAGGUAGCCAUAGCUCCGUGUAGGAACUCGUCUAACGAAGUAUCCACAACCCGAUCUUGUAGGUCUAGACUCGUUAGGAAAGAACGCGAGCAUCGUCGCGGGGCUGCCGUGCGUAGGGCAAAAGGUUAGGACUAGCUCGAGUGCAGCGACUCUGAGUGUAGUCGAAAAUCGCUCCUGCUUGUGAGCGCGCUCCGUAAGCUGAGUGAGACCCGGGCGGACGGAUCGAGCCUGUUAGGAGCAGGUGCGGUCGUUGCCGCGUUUUGGCCAUUCUUCUGGCAAAAACAUGACUGUUCUGAGUGCAACCACUCAGGAUGUAGGCGAGGUGGCUCUUUGUGCGAACCUUUCCAACGCGCUGUUUUUAGCCAGUCGAGCGGAUCAACUGAGUUGGACAAAGUGCGACAUCGGUCGCGUGUGACCACCUAAGGUCGCGGCGGAACUCGAUAUAUCGAGGAGUUUUAGCCGAAGCGGAUGGUUCGACAAAAAAUAAAGUCGAUAAGCUGUGAAUGUAGUCAUAACUUUAUUCACGACGAGUAGCCAGCUUACACGAGAGUUUCGCCCGUGGCCGUGGCUGUCGUGCGCCGGAGAGGGAAUGUGCGACCCGAAUAUUGUGGCUUGUAGCCUCCAAUAUGAAUCGGGGAAAGGAGAUCUUCCAAGCCCCCGGGGAAUUCGGAUACCACCGGGCGUUUGCUUAUGGGUAGAACUUGCGCAGGUGUUGGACGUUCCAGGAAUUUGGGACGUCCUGGCCUUCGAGGCACUGUAGUCGAUACGACCCUGGCCGUGUGACCUGCUUGACGACGAACGGGCCCUCCCACCUUGAGUUGAGCUUGUGUAGGCCAGAUUCGUCCUGGAUACGACGCAAGACCAAUUCACCAACACUGAAUGACCGCUCCUUGACGUUGCGAUCGUGGUAUCGGCGGAUCCCCUGCAGGUACCGGGCUGACUGGACAAGAGCGGUGCAACGAGCUUCUUCCACAGAAUCGAGCUCUAACUGCCGCGCCUCGUCCGCCUCGCCUUCAUUGUACAUUUCGACCCUUGGGGACUUCCACAUGAUAUCGGCUGGUAAAAUGGCUUCGGAUCCAUAUACAAGGAAGAAGGGUGUUUGGCCUGUGGCUUUGGACGGCUGAGUCCGAAGCCCCCAGACUACAUGCGGCAGCUCGUGCACCCAUUUGCCUCCCUUCUUGCUGUUUUCGUCAUAUAGUUGCUUUUUGAGACCGUCGAUUAUCAAGCCGUUCGCCCGCUCGACUUGUCCAUUGGCUCGCGGGUGUGCGACUGAGACAUAUUUAACUUCGAUGCAAGCAUUCUCGCAGAACUCCCAGAACUGGUUCGCCGUGAAGUUUGAUCCCAAGUCCGUGAUAAUGGAGUUGGGGAAGCCGAAACGAUGCAGAAUAUCUGAGAUGAAGUCGACGACCCGAUCUGGUGUGAGCUUGGCUAUCGGCUUGUACUCGAUCCACUUGGUAAACUUGUCGAUAGCCACCAGAACAUGGGUGAAACCGCCUGGUGCUGUCGUGAAGGGCCCAAUCAUGUCAAGACUCCAACAGGCGAAAGGCCAGGACGGCGGUAUGGUGAUGAGGCUGUGAGCUGGAACGUGCGUCUUUUUGCCGAAGAAUUGACAGUUUUGGCACCUGCGCACGAGAUCCUCCGCGUCGGUCACCGCGGUGGGCCACCAGAAGCCGGCUCGGUAGGCUUUCCCCACCAGCGUUCUUGAAGCCGCAUGAUUACCGCAGACGCCGUCGUGGAUCUCCCGCAGUAUGGCGUAACCAUCUUCCUUGGUGACGCACUUCAUGAGAACCCCUGACCGGGCGCCUCGCCGAUAGAGCUUGUCAUUGGCCAGGACGAAACCCUUGCUUCGUCGCAAGAUGCGAGCUGCGUGAGCGCUCCUGGCGUCGACUCCCGCUGGCAACCGUUGAUCUCGUAUGAAGUCGAUAAAAGCCCCUCGCCAGUCUUCCUCCAGCACCAUAACCUCUCGAUCGGGUUGUUGGGGACCCGCGUCGAUGGCUACUUGCGGAGAAGACUUGAUCGAUGGCUGGUUGAGCUCUUGGACGAAGACUCCCGGCGGGACCUGGGCGCGCGUGGACCCCAGUUUAGACAGGAUGUCCGCACCGACGUUGUGCUCCCGUAAUACAUGAUGAACUUCCAGGCCGGAGAACUUGCUUUCCAACUUGCUCACUUCCUGCACGUAAGCGUCCAUUGUUUCCUUGUUGCAAUCCCAUUCCUUGUUGACCUGCUGAACAACAAGGAGAGAGUCGCCAUAUACAAGUAGUCGCUUGAUCCCUAGUGAUAUCGCCAAAUGAAGCCCGUGAAGCAAAGCUUCGUACUCGGCUUCAUUGUUGGAUACCGCCCACAGGAUCUGAAGGACGUACUUCAACUGCUCACCUCGUGGGGAAAUAAGCAGAACCCCAGCGCCACCGCCGUCGAGCUUGAGGGACCCGUCGAAAUACAUGGUCCAAUGCUCUGGCUUGUCCACUGGAGUUGGGACCUGAUUCUCUCUCCACUCAGCCAUGAAGUCGACUAGAGCCUGUGAUUUGAUUGCGGUGCGUGGCUUAAAGUCUAUUGACAAAGCCCCCAGUUCCACUGCCCACUUGGAUACACGUCCCGUGGCAUCUUGAUUAUGCAGAAUAUCCGCCAGCGGAAAGUCCGUGAUCACAGUGAUAUUGUACUCAUCGAAGUAGUGGCGCAGCUUUCUGGAUGUGAUCAAGAUAGCGUACAAAAGCUUUUGAACAGCGGGAUACCGUACCUUGGAUUCGGAGAGGACCUCGCUGACGAAGUAGACAGGCCUCUGCACUCUAAACGCAUGGCCUUCUUCGCCUCGCUCGACUACAAUAGCACUGCUGACGACAUGAGUUGUUGCCGCAAUGUAAAGUAGUAGAUCCUCCCCUGGCAACGGUGCUGUGAGGAUUGGAGGUGACUGCAGAUGAUGUUUCAGAUCUUGUAAAGCUCGCUCGGCCUCCUCCGUCCAUUGAAACUUAUCCUGUCGUUUCAGGAGCUUGAAGAAGGGUAGUCCUCUCUCCCCGAGUCGGGAGAUGAACCUGUUCAGAGCCGCCAUACAACCUGUUAACUUUUGCACAUCCUUGACUGUGGCCGGAGCCUCCAUAUCAGUGAUGGCCGUGAUCUUCACGGGGUUGGCUUCAAUGCCUCGGUUGCUGACGAUGAACCCGAGCAAUUUCCCUGAAGGUACGCCGAAGACGCAUUUGGUGGGAUUGAGUUUCCACCGGAAUCUGCGCAGACUAUCGAAUGUCUCCUCCAAAUCCGCGAUCAAGUUAUCGGACUCCCUGGUCUUGAUGACCACGUCAUCCACAUAAGCCUCGACAUUUCGAUGCAGCUGAUCCGCGAAACACAUCUGGAUUGCCCGCUGAUAUGUCGCACCUGCAUUUUUCAACCCGAAGGACAUUGUUUUGUAGGCGUAGGUUCCGUACGGGGUGAUGAAUGCAGUCUUGAUUUGGUCCUCCUCUUUGAGCGCAAUCUGAUGAUACCCUGAGUAACAAUCAAGAAAACAAAGAAGGACACACCCGGCCGUCGAAUCGACGACUUGGUCAAUGCGCGGCAGCCCAAAAUGAUCUUUUGGGCAAUGCUUGUUGAGAUUGGUGUAGUCGACACACAUUCUCCAUUCAUUAUUCUUUUUCUUUACAAGGACGGGAUUCGCUACCCACUCUGGAUGGAUUACUUCUUUAAUGAAUCCAGCCGCGAGAAGUUUAGCGAUCUCCCGUUUAAUGGCCUCACGCUUGUCGUGGGCAAACCUCCGCAGGCGUUGCUUCUUAGGCGUAGCCUUCGGGUGUACAUUCAAGGCGUGCUCGAUCAGCUCCCUGGGCACCCCUAGCAUAUCCGCUGGUUUCCACGUGAAUAUAUCUCGGUUAGCCCGAAGAAAGCUGACGAGCGCGAGUUCCUAUUUGUCACCCAAGCCCGCACCAAUGAUGGCGGUCUUGGAUGAAUCUCCCUCCUGGAGCUGGAUCGUCUUGAGGGCCACAUCAUCAGUCGACUGGAUGCUCGACUUGUUAGCCUUCUUGGAUGGAAUCUCCAGCCCGGUCUGGGAGAGCUGCUGCGCGGCCGCGAGUACUUCUCCCGAAGCAUCUGGCACGCGAGUAGUCGAGGCGUACUGGAUCGCCUCCUGAUUGCAAUCGUGCGACUUCUUCAGGUCACCACGAAGGGUGAGUACUCCACCGAGUCCUGGCAUCUUAAGAAGCAGAUAGACAUAAUGCGGCACUGCCAUGAACUUGGCAAGUGCCGGGCGACCCAGUAUUGCAUGGUAAGAGGAGUCAAAGGUAGCCACCUCGAACUUGAUAAACUCGGUGCGAUAGUUCUCCCUCGUGCCAAAGGUAACUGGGAGGACCACCGUACCGAGCGGAUGCGCCGCGUUACCUGGGACAAUGCCGUAGAAGGGGGAUUUGCUGGGAACCAGCAUGUCCUUAAAAUCCAGGCCCAUUUUCUUCAGAGUGCUGACGAAGAUAAGAUUGAGCCCGCUCCCGCCAUCGAUCAAGACCUUGGUAAGAUUGACCUCCGCCACCACAGGAUCCAGGACCAGGGGAAACUUGCCGGGCUCGGAGAAACUCGUCCACUGGUUAUCACGAGAGAACGAGAUGGGGACCUCCGACCAACGGAGUGGUCGUGGUACCUCCGGCUCGAUGGACAUGAUCUCCCGGAGGAGCAGCUUCUGAUCCCGCCUGGAACAGAAAUCCUCAUCCCCCCCGAAGAUGACGUUGACCACCUUCGACGCAUCCUGAAACUUCGGAUUGUGCCCGUGAUCCUCCUGAUCAUCGUCCUCGGGUUCUUUGUCACCAGGCUUCUUGUUCUUCCUGCCGCCACCGGAAUUGCUGAACGUCCUCCGAAGGUGAUAGCAGUCGAUGGCAGCGUGGUUGGCGCCUGGAUGCCACGGGCACUUCUUUUGUAGGAGCUUCUCGAACUCCUCCUGAGUUGUCGACUUCUUUCCCCGCGAAGGACGAUCGAUAGCCGCGAUGACAUCAUCUGGCUUUCGUUUCCGGGGUGGCCCGGAAAAGUCCCGCUGGCCUUUGUCGCUGCGGUUGUCGUUUGGGCGCCGCAGAUUGCUAUCAUGGCGCCGCGGGAACCGCUCCCGCAUCUUCUCCUCCUGCUCGGACCAAUCGUGCAUCAUAUCACGAAGGCCCGCAACGGUUUUCGGCCUGUUCCGCCCGAAAUCUCUGUAUAUGCUCGGGUCGGUGAUGCCGUUGUAAAAGCAGUCGAUGAUGUCCUCCUCCGAGAUGUUCGCGAUGGUGGCGCGGACGUCGAAGAAGCGACGCGUGUAGGACCGUAGAAGCUCGUUACGUUCCUGCUUGCACUGGGCAAGAUCGUGCCGAGUACCUGCACGGGUAAUUGCUCCCUGGAAAUUAUCGAUGAAGACCUUCUUAAGUCGUUCCCAGGAGUCGAUGGAGUUGCUGCCGAGGCUCUCCAGCCAAGUGAGCGGCGCAGGGUCCAAAGCCAUCGGGAAGUAGACGACUUUGGUGAUAUUUGAGCCCCCCGCGACGUCAAUGGCCGUGGAGUAGCAACGAAGCCACUGCUGGGGAGCCUGCUUGCCGUCGUACUUGGUGAUGCCGAUCGGCUUGAAGCCCUCCGGGUACUUGUAGCUGCUGAAACGAGCAGAGAAAGCAGGAAAUCGAUCGCUACAAUCAGUACCUUCAGCUUCGACUUCUUCGCGAGUCUUGCGCCUGGAGGAGAUCACGGUGCGCGCGUCGUGACCGUCAUUGAUGUGCUGGCGCAGGUCCUCCGGAGGAGGUCGUCGACUGGCCUGUCGCGGACGACCCCCUUGCGGUGGCUGUUGCCUCCCGCCAGGGGCCUGGCUCGCGCGUGCGUUGUCGUUGCUGAUCUGAUUUGGAGGACGACCACCAGUCGUUCGACUGCGAGCCUGGCUCCGGCUCUCGUCCACGCGCUCUUCCCGGAUGAUGGACGCCGGAUUAUGCUGAUCCAACUGGAUCCAAGCCCUCUGCGCAAAGAGGAGUGCUUGACGUACCUCCGGGUCGUGGCUGCGCUCGAGAAUGGCCGUGACCCUGGCAAUGUUGGCCACCGGGGUCCUGAAGCCCCGCUCGCUUACGGCAGCAAACUCGGGGUCGAGCUCGCGAUGCAUAGAUCGCCUUCGCUCGUUAGCUCUCCUUCGCCGGAUCGUUCGGGCCCUGUUCCUGGCCCUCCGCGCCUCACGAUCGGCGUCGUUCUCGUUACCGGCGUUGGCCGUGAUCUCAUCGUCAGAUAUCACAUCCAAGUUGUCGAUGAGGAGAUUCCCACCGUCCUCGCCUUCUUCGGCCAUCAGCACCUGGCGGGAGGAAAGCUCAUGAGAACUUUCGUCGACUAGCUCCGUCGACUCCUCCGCCACGGUGGCCAACGGCCUGCCCUCCUGGAAAGGCAAUGGCUCGAGGUGAGCCACGAGCCGACUCUCUACCUCGAGUAGAUUGGAGAGCUUCAUGCCCUUCCAAUGCACGAUGUGUCCUUUUGGCGAGGAAGCGAUCACCAAAUCACCGGGGCCAAAACAACCCGAAGCCCCCCGACACGCGGUGGCUUCGGAGUUUCCGUCCCGGAGCAGCAGAUCCCGAUCCUUCUCUAACAUGAAGAGGGAUCUGAGCGCAUUGGCCUCCUGAAGAUCAGUGGCCAAUUCGCGCAAGCCGGGUUGAGUACGACUCAACGAAUCCCUGAAUUGGAACGAGUCCAAACCAGGAGAAGUUGUCGCAGCAUCAGAAGAAGUCGAGCUUGGUACAGAUUCCAUCUCGACCUGUGCCGCGGAAGCAUGGAGCGGCAAGUUGUCGAGCUCGUCGACGAACUUGUCGAGGCCGCUGCGAGGAUCCGCAGCGACGGUUUUCGGCGUCAUGUCGACGAGGAAUCACCGAAAGUUGCCCGCACCGUCUGUGACGCAAACCCACGAGCCAAAAACAAACGUCGUACCCUGAGAGGGUACUGACCUGAUGAAACUGAAAGUUGCCAUCGAGCUCGCCGGCGGAUCUUCGACGCGCUCCCCUACCUGGCGCGCCAACUGUAGGUGUUUAACCGGCUGCCCACCGAGGGAUAUACCCAAGGUGGUAAGUUUUGGGUGAGGGAACGCCGAGAUCAGGAACUCGAAGGUGCAAAGAACACAAGACUUUAGACAGGUUCGGGCCGCACGGGGCGUAACACCCUACGUCCUGUAUGGUGGUUUGUAUUCUUUUUGGUGUAGAAUGACCUAAUGAUCUUCUGUUUUUAGGGGGGUCUCUGACCUCCCUUAUAUAUCCGAGAGGCCAGAGUUACAAAGAUGCUAACCAACCCCCACCGAGGGAUCACACCAGAACUGAUCUCGAGUAGAUCCUCUCCGUGUUGGUUAGCCCUAUCUCCUAUUUAAACGGGAUAAACAAGAGAUAAACAAAAUGAAUAAGAGAGAAGAUGGGCUUAAUCUCUUAGACUACAUAACAUGCCCAGCCCGGUGGCCCCGGGUCUGACAUAUACUUUAGCCCAUAACUAGACUCAUGAAAGCUUGUAAUGGUUCCGGGUUUAGUUUUAGCUGAAAAGCAACUAAGAAUAUAACCUAUUUUCAAGUUUUAGCUUUCAGAUUCUAGUUUGAUUAGCCAUUCUAGGUAACCACCUAUACUAAACAAGCAAGAUAGAUAUUAUCAUCCAUCAUGAUUAUUCCAUCAACAAUUACACUUUUUACUCGAUGUGGCAAAAGGGAUAAGCAGUCUCAAUCCUCGUGAGAGGCGGACGAUCCGAAUCGAAUUUAACCUUGCAAGGUAAACCUAACACACACGCUUGGAAUACCAACAGGGCGUUCCGAAGCAACCGUUUACCUCAUAUUCCGGGUUAUGGAUCGGGGCCACCACAAGCGACUGCAGGACCGUACGCACAUCACUCGUGCAGGACAUAUGUCUGUAGCGCGACUACAAAACCCGUAUUCCUAUCUGCCAUGCAGAAUGUACUCCCACACGUCGGUGCAUGUAAACAUAAAAUAAAAGUCGAGUGGUGGAGACAAGUCCAUUUGCCGGGCCAUUCGGGUACUAGGCUUACCGCUUACCAUAUUUCGCGGUAUGUGGCUAGUACUUUCAAAAGCUUAGCCACCACUACCACACAUUUCGACCUUAAAACUUUUAUCAAAACAGACAGGGUAAUCCUCAGGUCAUGAUACAGCACAUGACCCUGUCCAUCAUCCUUAUAGUGAUUGCAGAAUUGUAAACAAGCAACUCUUAUAUCGCGCGAGUGACAGGAAAUCACCCGACUUUUACCGGCCCUAUUUAGCAGAGCAUCUAAGCGAUAAGGACUCAGGUACAAUACAUUGGAUUCCUAAGAUCUUAUGCAACUAGGGUUUCAUUUCAACUCCUAGACAUAAUGCAAGAUAUAUAAUAUAAUAAUAGAAUUGUAAUAGAUUGAAAUACUGGGAUAUGCACCGGGGCUUGCCUUUACUGGUGAGACUGAAGUCAGAAAUGUCAAUAUCUUCCGAACUUUGGUUCGGGGCUUCAGUUAAUUCCUUGGUGACGUUCAUUUGGCCUUCAGGAAUAUCCUCCGCAGACUCCUGGGAGAUCUCGUAGGUACCGUUGCCGAAGUAAUCGUAUCU
This 13265-nucleotide long non-coding RNA is filed under the name Panicum hallii. Its description in RNAcentral is "long non-coding RNA (PHAL_LNC000968)". Lineage: Eukaryota; Viridiplantae; Streptophyta; Magnoliopsida; Poales; Poaceae. The record is from RNAcentral.